This is a non-coding RNA of Kogia breviceps (pygmy sperm whale), 1279 nucleotides long. The record is from RefSeq and is a predicted model, not a curated record. Lineage: Eukaryota; Metazoa; Chordata; Mammalia; Artiodactyla; Physeteridae.
GAUGGUGAUGGCCGCUCCAGUUUACUGCUUGAGCAUCGGCUGUGUGCCAGGCUCUUCCCCAGCCACUCACAGCUGGCAGAGGCCCCACAGAACACCACGCUGGAGCCACCGUUGACAUCCUCGUGCAGAUCACACCUGCCUUCCUGAGACACAAAAGAGGGGGAAAACCCCCCACAAACAUUCAGGGGCCCAUCACCUUGACAAAGCUUCGGGGAGACCAUGGAGUGUUUCAGGAGAGCCCAACAAAGUGAAAGAGAUGUCGUUAUACCUAAAAAAGGCGGGAUGACGUUUGCAGAAAUUUUUUGGAUUUCGAAGGCAACCUAUUGGCCAUUUGGCUGUGUCCUCCCAAAGCCUUUACCAAUGAACCUGUAAGGCCACCAGGUAUGAGUGGGGCUCCCAGACCUCAUCUCCUAAUAGACCCAGUGGCACUCAGUGUUCGUGACCAACAGCAAUGCUGCAGAGAGCCCAGGGGGCAGACCACCGAGCAGAGUGCCAGGGUUCUGGACAAAGCCAGGCCCUCCUCUGCAUGUGACUAUUCUCAUCUCCAAGAAACAGCUCCUGGCUACCACUGGGUCCCGGUGGGGACUGAAUGGCUGACGGGGACAUCAGUGGACUGCAGUCCUGAGCUCAGUGCAUUAUGGACGGGGUGUGAUCUGCCCCCCUCCACAAGAAGUCGGGUCUACUCGGCUGCAAACUGUCAUCUCAUGGAGAUGGUGUGUGAGAGCCUGAGACAACCCAGAAGACGCACAUCAGUUGCAUGAACAGAUGGCUCAGACCCUGUGACAUGUCCUCUUGCUUGUGGCCUCCUCUCUCCCUCAGUCGACACCUUCUGGGAAGUUCCCAGUGACCAGAUGGCCAAGGAGGCGUGCUUUCAGAUGGUUCUCCAUGAUGCACUGGCUCCAGCUAAGAACAGGCUAUGAGGGCAUGACAGCCCCAAUGUCAAGUGUCCCUGGAAGACAGAGGGGAAGGGAAAUCAUCCCAGCAGACAGAGCUUGAGUAGAACAAAUGGUUAUCGCUUUUCUGGGCUGAAAGACAGCCGGAAGAAUUAACCUACAUCAGUGACUCUUCCCCUCCCCCCACCGCCUUGGGGAUAUUUGGCGAUCCCUGGAGACGUCUUGAUUGUCACAUCUAGGGGGAGGGAGCUACUGGCAUCCAGUGGGUAGAGGUCAGCCAAGGACAUUGCUGCACAUCUUAUAAUACACACAGGACGAUCCCCUACAAAAAAGGAUGAUCUGGCCCUAAACUUCAUUAGUGCCACAGUCAAGGAAUCCCAAUCCAC